UAGACCUUUACAGAUGAUGCAGAAGCUUAGCAGUAAAAGCCUUCACGAGGUCCUGUUCAUUCCUCUAUGUCCAUCAAACAUUUCCACAUGUUCAUGGUGGGAAAAAAGGGGUUCGAAAAGGAUGGUUCAACCUUUUCUUAGAACUUGGUGGGGUCGAUACAAUGCAUAAACGGAAGAGGUAACACUUGGUCAGUUGGUCUACCAUCUUACAUUUGUCAGUACCUUUUUUUUUUUUUUACUGUUUUUGCGUCUUGCAGCCUAGUACUGAGAAUUUUCGUUCUUAUUUAUUUUCAUCUGUGAUCUCUUUUCACAGUUGUCUUUUAUGUUUUUAUAUUUUAAAAAAGUCUGGAAUAAUGGCCAUACUUCAUGAUGUAUUUCCUCCUCUGUUACUGUUUAGGUUUCUCUCCCAAAUGAUCAACCCCCUAGGAUUCGUUGGUCCCAUUACAUUUUGGAUCCAACACUUUCAUCCUAGAAGAAGACAAUUACAACUCGACCGGACCCUAUUGAUAUUUCGAUUAUUAAUGUAGUAGGCCUCUUUUUCCCCCCAA
Long non-coding RNA from Tripterygium wilfordii, 548 nucleotides. RefSeq lists it as uncharacterized. The transcript has 2 exons. Lineage: Eukaryota; Viridiplantae; Streptophyta; Magnoliopsida; Celastrales; Celastraceae. The record is from RefSeq and is a predicted model, not a curated record.